GAUGAACGCUGGCGGCGUGCCUAAUACAUGCAAGUCGAGCGAACGGACGAGAAGCUUGCUUCUCUGAUGUUAGCGGCGGACGGGUGAGUAACACGUGGAUAACCUACCUAUAAGACUGGGAUAACUUCGGGAAACCGUAGCUAAUACCGGAUAAUAUUUUGAACCGCAUGGUUCAAAAGUUAAAGACGGUCUUGCUGUCACUUAUAGAUGGAUCCGCGCUGCAUUAGCUAGUUGGUAAGGUAACGGCUUACCAAGGCAACGAUGCAUAGCCGACCUGAGAGGGUGAUCGGCCACACUGGAACUGAGACACGGUCCAGACUCCUACGGGAGGCAGCAGUAGGGAAUCUUCCGCAAUGGGCGAAAGCCUGACGGAGCAACGCCGCGUGAGUGAUGAAGGUCUUCGGAUCGUAAAACUCUGUUAUUAGGGAAGAACAUAUGUGUAAGUAACUGUGCACAUCUUGACGGUACCUAAUGAGAAAGCAACGGCUAACUACGUG
This 497-nucleotide ribosomal RNA is filed under the name uncultured bacterium. RNAcentral's name for it is "partial 16S ribosomal RNA". It matches the Rfam family "Bacterial small subunit ribosomal RNA", at positions 28 to 507 of the family's 1533-position model. The record is from RNAcentral.